AGAGUUUGAUCCUGGCUCAGGACGAACGCUGGCGGCGUGCUUAACACAUGCAAGUCGAACGGUGAACUCCGCUUGCGGGGGGAUCAGUGGCGAACGGGUGAGUAACACGUGGGCAACCUGCCCUCAGCUCUGGGAUAACUCCAAGAAAUUGGGGCUAAUACCGGAUAUGACUGCUGACCGCAUGGUCUGGUGGUGGAAAGAUUUAUCGGCUGGGGAUGGGCCCGCGGCCUAUCAGCUUGUUGGUGGGGUAGUGGCCUACCAAGGCGACGACGGGUAGCCGGCCUGAGAGGGCGACCGGCCACACUGGGACUGAGACACGGCCCAGACUCCUACGGGAGGCAGCAGUGGGGAAUAUUGCGCAAUGGGCGGAAGCCUGACGCAGCGACGCCGCGUGGGGGAUGACGGCCUUCGGGUUGUAAACCUCUUUCGACUUCGACGAAGCCUUUCGGGGUGACGGUAGGGGUGGAAGAAGCACCGGCCAACUACGUGCCAGCAGCCGCGGUAACACGUAGGGUGCGAGCGUUGUCCGGAAUUAUUGGGCGUAAAGAGCUCGUAGGCGGUGUGUCGCGUCGGCCGUGAAAACCUGUGGCUUAACUAUGGGCUUGCGGUCGAUACGGGCAUCACUGGAGUUCGGCAGGGGAGACUGGAAUUCCUGGUGUAGCGGUGAAAUGCGCAGAUAUCAGGAGGAACACCGGUGGCGAAGGCGGGUCUCUGGGCCGAUACUGACGCUGAGGAGCGAAAGCGUGGGGAGCGAACAGGAUUAGAUACCCUAGUAGUCC
This 779-nucleotide ribosomal RNA is filed under the name uncultured bacterium. RNAcentral's name for it is "bacterial SSU rRNA". It matches the Rfam family "Bacterial small subunit ribosomal RNA", at positions 8 to 796 of the family's 1533-position model. The record is from RNAcentral.